This 253-nucleotide ribosomal RNA is filed under the name uncultured bacterium. Its description in RNAcentral is "partial 16S ribosomal RNA". It matches the Rfam family "Bacterial small subunit ribosomal RNA", at positions 524 to 776 of the family's 1533-position model. The record is from RNAcentral.
UACAGAGGUCUCAAGCGUUGUUCGGAUUCAUUGGGCGUAAAGGGUGCGUAGGUGGCGCGCUAAGUCAGGUGUGAAAUUUCGGAGCUUAACUCCGAAACUGCAUUUGAUACUGGCGUGCUUGAGGACUGGAGAGGAGACUGGAAUACUUGGUGUAGCAGUGAAAUGCGUAGAUAUCAAGUGGAACACCAGUGGCGAAGGCGAGUCCCUGGAAAACUCCUGACACUGAGGCACGAAAGCUAGGGGAGCAAACAGG